Molecule: transfer RNA, 68 nt
Filed under: Capra hircus (goat)
Lineage: Eukaryota; Metazoa; Chordata; Mammalia; Artiodactyla; Bovidae
Also listed under: 3 other names
Rfam family: tRNA
About the family: Transfer RNA (tRNA) molecules are approximately 80 nucleotides in length. Their secondary structure includes four short double-helical elements and three loops (D, anti-codon, and T loops).
Source: Rfam by way of RNAcentral
CCUGUAGCUCAAACGGUAAAGAAUCUGCCUGCAAUGCAGGAGACCAGGGUUCGAUCCCUGGGUCAGGA